CUCGACCCUUGACCUUGUAAAAUGGAUGUCCUGAAAAUUUUGAUAAAUCUAAAUAAAUAAAGAAAUCAAAAUAUGUGAUUGUGUGUUUGCAGCUUGAAUGCUUGAAGUAACACAUCAAGAACUGGAAGAGCAUAAACCAAUGCAUUUGAUGGCGUAACCAACAGUAGUCAUGGCAACUGCUAUCAACCAACCAGACUCCUUAUGGGAUAUAUCUCUUCUUUAUUGUGUUAGAAAUCUGCAGACAUUUUGUGUCCAAGAACUUGCAGUUACAAACAAUGAUCAAACAGUCUAUAACUGGAAAUUACGAGAGGGCUUAACAUUGCCGCUUGAAGUAUGCGAGAGCUUGUUGACAGCUUUCCUAGCCAAUCACUAUAGAGAACCCGAUGAACCUGAUUAUUACGAUUACAAAUUGAACAGUUUUCUCCACAUAUUUCAAGAUACAUUACGUACUAGACUUAAAAGAGUUAACUUGUCAAGGAUGCAAGUUGUAGACACUGCUCUGGAGUGGAUACUCUCACAUAAGCUUACUGAGCUCGAUAUAUCGGAUAACUCCGCCUUAAGGAACUUGUCGAUGCAUUGUAUUAACACUUAUGGCGACAACCUAACCAAACUAAAUAUUGGGAAUACCACAGUCAUAUUUAACGAUCUGGAUCCUGUGCAGUUGGAUGAAAAUGACUCUAGUGCUAUUAAACCACCAUGUCAUUGUCUCCCUAUACCAAAAACUUCAUCUAUUCAAGAUUAUUUGCUCUCUCGUGACAAAUGUGCCGAUCACAAACAUGAGAGUCAGCGAGAUCCAUUAUUCAUGCGGGAAUAUGUGUUUGACUUGCCUAACCUUAGAUGGUUAUCAAUACAUGAUUUGAGUCAUAAUGCUUAUGACAUGAUCUUAACUUUAUUAAAACCUUUGACUAAAUUAACAUAUUUGGAUCUAUCAGGGUGUGGUGUAGAUGCUGAAUUAUUGAUGGGUGUCCAGAGUUAUGCCCAUAUUAGGUCGUUAACACUCUAUGAUGUACAGAUAAGUAAUCUGGAGGAUACAUUGAUAGCUAUAGGCAAACUUAAAACAUUGAGGCACCUUGACAUCAGCCAAGGCAAGGAGCAGCAUGUCCUCUAUGAUGAGCCUGAGCAACGUCUGAGAUAUAUUGUCAACGCUCUCCCUAACCUGGUAUCCCUUGACAUAUCUGGCACAAACCUGGCUGGGAUGGAGCCCAACGAUUACCUCACUAAGACUCUGAAAUUUGAAGAAGAAAGGCAACAGUAUCCACACUGUCCUAUCUAUGGCCUCGAGGGUAGAUCAUUUGAGUUCCUAGGCCUUCUCUACUGUACAACUGAGCCUUGCAACAGGGAAAACAUACCUGCUAAAAAGGUAACUGGUGAUAAAACAGAGGAACAAGUAUUAGUCUCCAUCCAGGCAAACAUAGAAAAAACAGAGCUUCUGAUUCGCUCCCUGAAUCACCUGUUUAGAAUAUUCCGCUACUCCAUCUGUAAAAGUCCCGCUGUUGCUUUAAAGGGUAUUCUCACUGCUAUGAAGAAGCAUGUCUUCGACAGAUCUGUGCAAAUAUCUGGCAGUGCCUCAUUGUUCUACAUCGUAAAGGGGAAAGAAAGGUCCAUGCUAAAUGUCGCCACCAGACGAGAUAUCAUAACAACAAUACUAGCUGGAAUGGAAAGCCACAUGGAUGAGGCCACGAUGAUGCGUAAUGGGUGCCUCACAUUGUGCCACUUUAAGAUUCCCCAAGAUGUGAUAUAUGAAUAUCCAAGAGUGAUCAAAGUCCUACUGAACAUGAUCUCUCCCCCAGACCAAGAGGAGUUUGUGCAGAGAAUUGGUAUUCACCUGUUGAACAGCUUAGCCUGCCAGGUGGAUGGUAAAGAGAAGCAGUUGGUUGGGGACUAUGGUGCAAUAGAGACAAUGUUAGAGACUGUGAGAAACAGACUAAGACAGAACAUCUGUGAUGAGGUGAUGGAAAUAGCAUGGAGUACAAUGUGGAAUGUAACUGAUGAGACGGCUAUCAACUGCGAACGUUUCAUUGCAGACAAAGGCUUGGAUCUCUUUCUGCAGUGCCUCGAGACUUUUCCUGAGAAGCCAGAGCUAUUGAGGAACAUGAUGGGGUUAAUGGGUAAUGUAGCAGAGGUCCCAUACCUUAGAAAGUAUCUCAUCACCCCACAGUACAUCUCAGUAUUCAGUGAGUUACUGAUGUCAAAAAGUGACGGCAUUGAAGUCAGUUACAAUGCUGCAGGGGUGCUAUCCCAUAUUGCAUCUGAUGGCCCUAAAGUCUGGACAAUAUCCUCACCAACUCGUAAAGAAGUUCUACAGAAUCUCUCAACAGCAAUUGAAAAAUGGGACUUAGAUACUAAGAGGAAUAUCAAUUACAGGUCAUUUGCGCCAAUCUUAAGACUCCUUCCAAUCCAUGAGACUCCUGAGGUUCAACACUGGGCAAUAUGGGCAUUGUGCAAUCUAACAAGAGUAUAUCCUAACAAAUAUUGUCAACUGUUGGUCAAUGAGAAUGGUAUUGAACUUAUAGAACAAGUUGCUUUAGACCAACGACCAUACCCACGGAUACGUGAAUUGUCAUCAAUGGUUUUAGAGUGUUGUCGAAAUUGGAAGAUAGGUGGCGCCAGAGAUGAUAAUGAUAUUAGGGACGAUAAUGACCCAAGUAAUAUGGAAGGUUGAAUAUUUGCAGUACUUUGUGAACUUAGUUGAUGAAAUGGCCUUUUUGAUAAGAGCCUCAACAUUAUUUUAUGCUGUUAGACUAUGUAUUUAAGAGUACAAAAUAAAAACCAUGUAAUAUAUGAAUGAUGAAAUUUGGAACAUGUCACCCGCAAAUGCCACAUGAAAUCUGAAAGAAACCAUUAAUGAAAACCAUUGUGAUUUGAAAAAUGGCAGACCACCAAUGGAAAACUCUGGAUUGUUAAGAGUUGAGGGAGGUGGACUUAGAAUAAAAUGUAUAGUGUUUUUCCUCAACAAUAUUUGGAGACAUUAUUUUAUUACAAACUAACCAAUACCUAUUGUUCACUGUAUAUGACUUAGCAGGUGUAUGAUUCAUUUUAUUAUUGGCUCAUAUUAUUGUAUUGUGUUGUAAGACACAGUUAACACAGGGAGUGUACCAAAUUA
Molecule: unclassified non-coding RNA, 3103 nt
Filed under: Owenia fusiformis
Lineage: Eukaryota; Metazoa; Annelida; Polychaeta; Sabellida; Oweniidae
Description: protein zer-1 homolog
Source: RNAcentral